RNAcentral lists this ribosomal RNA (307 nucleotides) under Bacillus sp. B47V. RNAcentral's name for it is "bacterial SSU rRNA". It matches the Rfam family "Bacterial small subunit ribosomal RNA", at positions 60 to 355 of the family's 1533-position model. RNAcentral also lists the same sequence under 3 other names. Lineage: Bacteria; Bacillati; Bacillota; Bacilli; Caryophanales; Bacillaceae. The record is from RNAcentral.
AGUCGAGCGAAUGGAUUGAGAGCUUGCUCUCAAGAAGUUAGCGGCGGACGGGUGAGUAACACGUGGGUAACCUGCCCAUAAGACUGGGAUAACUCCGGGAAACCGGGGCUAAUACCGGAUAACAUUUUGAACUGCAUGGUUCGAAAUUGAAAGGCGGCUUCGGCUGUCACUUAUGGAUGGACCCGCGUCGCAUUAGCUAGUUGGUGAGGUAACGGCUCACCAAGGCAACGAUGCGUAGCCGACCUGAGAGGGUGAUCGGCCACACUGGGACUGAGACACGGCCCAGACUCCUACGGGAGGCAGCAGU